This is a long non-coding RNA of Trichomycterus rosablanca, 300 nucleotides long. RefSeq lists it as uncharacterized. The record is from RefSeq and is a predicted model, not a curated record. The transcript has 2 exons. Lineage: Eukaryota; Metazoa; Chordata; Actinopteri; Siluriformes; Trichomycteridae.
GUUUAUGAAGACAGAGAGGCAAAGAUAGAGAGACCGAAACUUUCUAAAGUAUUUCAGCCAAAAUAACCCAAAGAAAUGAGCUGGACGCAGACACUACAAAGCAGACACUAAGCAAUGGAGUGUGGAUGAGAAGAGAAGUUCAUGCACCCCUCAAAUGGCUGAGGUCUUCACAGACAGCAUUCACAUGUUUCUCAACGACGUUAUAAAUGUUUUUUGACUUCCAGAGUGAUAACUUCUGAAACAUAACAGUUUCUAAUGCUGUCCAAAGCUUUCUUAUUAAAUUGCAUUUUUUUAUUGUGA